Molecule: ribosomal RNA, 445 nt
Filed under: uncultured bacterium
Lineage: Bacteria
Description: partial 16S ribosomal RNA
Rfam family: Bacterial small subunit ribosomal RNA
Source: RNAcentral
UCCAGACUCCUACGGGAGGCAGCAGUGGGGGAUAUUGCACAAUGGAGGAAACUCUGAUGCAGCGACGCCGCGUGAGGGAAGACGGUCUUCGGAUUGUAAACCUCUGUCUUUGGGGAAGAAAAUGACGGUACCUGACUAAGAAGCCCCGGCUAACUACGUGCCAGCAGCCGCGGUAAUACGUAGGGGGCAAGCGUUAUCCGGAUUUACUGGGUGUAAAGGGAGCGUAGACGGCAUGGCAAAUCAGAUGUGAAAGCGCGGGGCUCAACCCCGAGACUGCAUUUGAAACUGUCAGGCUGGAGUGCAGGAGAGGUAAGUGGAAUUCCUAGUGUAGCGGUGAAAUGCGUAGAUAUUAGGAGGAACACCAGUGGCGAAGGCGGCUUACUGGACUGUAACUGACGUUGAGGCUCGAAAGCGUGGGGAGCAAACAGGAUUAGAUCCCCCAGUA